AACGAACGCCGGCGGCAGGCCUAAAACAUGCAAGUCGAACGAUCUAGCAAUAGAUAGUGGCGCACGGGUGAGUAACACGUGGGAAUAUCCCUUUCACUACGGAACAACGUCGGGAAACUGACGCUAAUACCGUAUAAUGUCUCCGGACCAAAGAUUUAUCGGUGAAAGAUUAGCCCGCGUCUGAUUAGCUAGUUGGUGAGGUAACGGCUCACCAAGGCAACGAUCAGUAGCUGGUCUGAGAGGAUGAUCAGCCACACUGGAACUGAGACACGGUCCAGACUCCUACGGGAGGCAGCAGUUAGGAAUAUUGGACAAUGGGGGCAACCCUGAUCCAGCCAUGCCGCGUGUGUGACGAAGGCCUUAGGGUUGUAAAGCACUUUCGUCUACGAAGAUAAUGACAGUAGUAGAAGAAGAAGCUCCGGCUAAAUUCGUGCCAGCCGCCGCGGUAA
RNAcentral lists this ribosomal RNA (449 nucleotides) under uncultured bacterium. RNAcentral describes it as "partial 16S ribosomal RNA". It matches the Rfam family "Bacterial small subunit ribosomal RNA", at positions 29 to 523 of the family's 1533-position model. The record is from RNAcentral.